UUUUUUAUAUUUUCCGUUCUUUGUUGAUGGAUGAUUGAACGUACUCCGUUUUCAAAUAUGAGGAAUAUUACAGCUGGUUGGCAAAGUGAGAGCGUACUGGCGGUGGCAACAUUCAUGUCUCUUUGUCUAUCAUUUUCUGUCAUCUUUUCCAUCAUUUUCUCGGAGUGGGUUUAUCCUUUACAGUGAUACUGUUCUCAAAGCCUCUAUAAAUCUUCAUCCAUGCAGUCACAGAUUUUCAUCAAGCCUAAUAAUGUCCACUCUCUUCACUCAUCUCUAGCUAGGGUUCUAACUUCUUUACUCCAUUUCAGCCUUCUUUUUUUCUUUUUUUCUUUUUUCUUUUAGAGAUCUUUGUUGGAAAUCUCAAUGUAGAAAUGAAGCAGAAACAAUCACCUAGAGGAUUUUAGCUGUUGAUGAAUAUGAGCUACCCCUUAUCGAUCGUAAGUCUCUUUAAUCUUGACGAGUUGGAGUAUGAAGAAUGUAAGAAGACAGAUAUAGGAAGAUUCAUUCAAGUGGGAAUUCUUUCAAGUUUUGGGUCAUGGCAUUCUCCAAAGUUUUGUCUCGGAUGCAGUGUGAGCAAGUGAAAUUCUUCCAGUAACUUUUCCACCAAAGGACUGAUGAGGACUAAUGCAAUUUCAGGUCAAUACUAGAGAAUUUAUGAUUAUGAUUUUUGCAUCAAGGGUAAGGAUGAAAAAUGGUUUAGCAUCAAGGGUAACUUACCUCCUAUAAAACUUCACUUGCUCACUCUGGAUUCGAGAUGAAACAUUAGGAUUGACUUAUUUGGAAGGUCGGUUUGGAUGAAGUUUCACAUAUCUGUCUCUUACACUCUUCAUGCUCCAAGUUGCCAAGAUUCAAGAAACUUAGAUCGAUGAGUGGUAGCUCACAUUCAUCAAUAGUAAAGGACUUCUUUAAUGUUAAUUAAGUUUGAUUCCACUUCUAAUAUUAUGUUUCAAAGGAGAUUUAUACAA
Vitis riparia (riverbank grape) is the source of this 965-nucleotide long non-coding RNA. RefSeq lists it as uncharacterized. The record is from RefSeq and is a predicted model, not a curated record. Lineage: Eukaryota; Viridiplantae; Streptophyta; Magnoliopsida; Vitales; Vitaceae. The transcript is spliced from 2 exons.